This 1435-nucleotide long non-coding RNA is filed under the name Homo sapiens (human). RNAcentral's name for it is "VIPR1 antisense RNA 1". Lineage: Eukaryota; Metazoa; Chordata; Mammalia; Primates; Hominidae. The record is from RNAcentral.
GAAGCCAGGCCAAGAAGAAUCCCAGGACUGGAAGGCCUUGUGGGACGUCCCAGGUUUGUCUUGUGUCAAUAGCACUGAUACUCAAUCUCCUACUCCCAUCUGUGAGCAUGCAGACCCUACUUGCCUUCCCACAGCCUCCCUUUUCAUAUUUUUCAUGUUUCUUUAGCUCUGUCUUCAAGCCUUGUUGCUCCCGCAAAAAAACCUGCCUCUUCCUCCAGUCCUCCCAAGCAGGGGGAACAGUCCUGACACCUUUCCAAGCCCUGGUCCAUGGACAUUGUGCCCCCUUCUCCCUGCCCAUGGUGACCUGCUCCAAAACCCUCAAGGAGAAGGGAGUGUAUGUCAUUUCCUCCCUGUAAAGUAAAGAUAAUUUUGCAGGGGACUGUGUGGAUGAAAUGACAUGAUGCAUGGAAAUCCCUUAGCGUGUGCCUGGCAUGUAAACUGCAGGUGUCAUCAUUAUUACUGAGGAAUACUGAGUCCCGAACAUGGCUGUCUCAUUGGUGGACUGGGGUCUCCCCCAGGGCAUUCAUCUACUAUGUGUUUAUUGCACCCUUUUUCCAUGUGAGGCACAUGCCAGGGACUGGGCACAUGGUAUGAACAAGACACAGGUCAUCGGUGUCCUCUUGAGCUCCCUGGCUUGGCAGCAGAUGCAUACCUGGGAAGGAUGCUAGGUCAUCCGGGAACUCUACCUCCUUCAAAUCCCUAAGGACUGUGCUCCCAAUCCGCUUACGCUCAAGGAAGAACUGCCUGGAAGCCCUCCCUGGUACCAUACCCCAGCCGAUGAGUAUGUACCCCCAGAAGUACUUCCGCUCAGAGAAGAAGGAGACGGCAAGCAGGGUGUACAGGAAGGCCCAGAACCAGCCUGCUGUCAGGAUCAGAACAAAAGAGGAGGACUGCAUAUGUAUGGACCCACUCCAGAUGGCACGGGGACGGGGGGAGUAGGAAAAGUGGCAUGAUGAGGAAAUGGAGGCACAGACUGAUUAGAAAACCAGCUCAAGGUCAUGUUGCUGGGCUCUCUGGUGGAGCCUCUGUCUCACAGGUCACCUGCAGGCCAACACUCCCAGAAGCAGCUAGCACCAUGGUUGACCUCGUCCAGGUCCAGGGAAGGCCUCCCUCUCCAGGACUCCUUUAGAUUUCCCCAGCAUCCAGACCUCACCUGCCUAAGUGCUGUUGCCCUGGAAGCCACAGUGAGCACGAGCUCCAUCUUGCACCUUUACCAGCCAAUGGGGGUAAAGACAUUAGCUGAAAUACUUCUAAGGGGCCAGGCGUGGUGACUCAUGCUUGUAAUUCCAAGCACUUUGGGAGGCUGAGGCAGGUGGAUCACCUGAAGCCAGGAGUUCAAGAGCAGCCUGGCCAACAUGGCGAAACCCUGUCUCUACUAAAAAUACAAAAUUUAGCCAGGCAUGGUGGCGGGAGCCUGUAAUCUCAGCUCCUAGGG